Long non-coding RNA from Bolinopsis microptera, 636 nucleotides. RefSeq lists it as uncharacterized. Lineage: Eukaryota; Metazoa; Ctenophora; Tentaculata; Lobata; Bolinopsidae. The record is from RefSeq and is a predicted model, not a curated record. The transcript is spliced from 3 exons.
GAGAUGGAUGCCUCAUCUACCCCUGGUUGGCUCACAAUACAUAUGAUUAUUCUGUUUGAUAUUUUUUCCUCCUCUCCAAUCAUUGUUGGUCUUCAGCUGUAUGAGGGAUUAAAUCCUGAAAAGUAGCGAAUAGUAUUGCCGAUCAGGCCAGGACCAUGUAAAAGUGUAACAUUCCUUCUCCGAGAACAAAUGGAGUUAAUUCUGCCACAAAAGAAAAGAAUGAACUGAUGAACUCGUUCACACUACCCCUCGCUCUUCAACUGUUGGAGAAAACUUCCUUCUAUCGCUGCUCGCAACACAGCAGAACUUGGUUUAAUUCUGUGCGCUAAAAUUUUGCAAACGAGGCCUAAAAUACUGUUAUGUAGGAUAGACUGUUAUGUAGGAUAGACGGAAUCGUUUCAGUAACUUUCUUGAUCAUCUUUAGAAACUCUUUCAACAACAUUGAUAAAGUCCAGUUUGCCUGCUGAAAUUUCAGAAUCUUGCUCUACUUUACGGAAGGCGCGAAUGUAAAAUCUAUGAAUUGUAAAAAAAGCAAUAAUUGUCAGUUAAGAGUUAAAAUUUGAAUAUGCAUGAUAUGGUCGGUCGAAUAUAAUAUAAUGAAUUGAUCCAAAGCCAGCAGGCUUUUCGCACUGGCCA